This 69-nucleotide transfer RNA is filed under the name Arachnocampa flava (prey-luring glowworm). RNAcentral describes it as "tRNA-Met". The record is from RNAcentral. Lineage: Eukaryota; Metazoa; Arthropoda; Insecta; Diptera; Keroplatidae.
AAAAAGGUAAGCUAAUUAAGCUAUUAGACUCAUACCCUAAUUAUAAAAACCCUAUAUUUUUUCUUUUUA